Molecule: transfer RNA, 59 nt
Filed under: Allobosea robiniae
Lineage: Bacteria; Pseudomonadati; Pseudomonadota; Alphaproteobacteria; Hyphomicrobiales; Alloboseaceae
Description: Bosea robiniae tRNA_Arg_CCT
Rfam family: tRNA
About the family: Transfer RNA (tRNA) molecules are approximately 80 nucleotides in length.
Source: RNAcentral
GUUCCGAGACCUGCGGUUUCCUAAACCGUAGGUCAGGGGUUCGAAUCCCUUCCGGGACG